UGGGGAAUUUUGGACAAUGGGGGAAACCCUGAUCCAGCCAUCCCGCGUGUGCGAUGAAGGCCUUCGGGUUGUAAAGCACUUUUGGCAGGAAAGAAACGUCGCGGGUUAAUACCCCGCGAAACUGACGGUACCUGCAGAAUAAGCACCGGCUAACUACGUGCCAGCAGCCGCGGUAAUACGUAGGGUGCAAGCGUUAAUCGGAAUUACUGGACGUAAAGCGUGCGCAGGCGGUUCGGAAAGAAAGAUGUGAAAUCCCAGAGCUUAACUUUGGAACUGCAUUUUUUAACUACCGGGCUAGAGUGUGUCGGAGGGAGGUGGAAUUCCGCGUGUAGCAGUGAAAUGCGUAGAUAUGCGGAGGAACACCGAUGGCGAAGGCAGCCUCCUGGGAUAACACUGACGCUCAUGCACGAAAGCGUGGGGAGCAAACAGGAUUAGAUACCCUGGUAGUCCACGCCCUAAACGAUGUCAACUAGCUGUUGGGGGCCUUCGGGCCUUGGUAGCGCAGCUAACGCGUGAAGUUGACCGCCCGGGGAGUACGGUCGCAAGAUUAAAACUUAAAUGAAUUGACGGGGUCAUAGCUGUUUCCU
Molecule: ribosomal RNA, 587 nt
Filed under: uncultured bacterium
Lineage: Bacteria
Description: partial 16S ribosomal RNA
Rfam family: Bacterial small subunit ribosomal RNA
Source: RNAcentral